GCCGGGCGCGAUGGCUCACACUUGUAAUCCCAGCACUUUGGGAGGCCAAGGCGAGCGGAUGACCUGAGGUCAGGAGUUUGAGACCAACCUGGCCAACAUGGCGAAACCCCAUCUCUACUAAANNNNNNNNNNUUUUUUUUUUUUUUUUUUUUUUUUUAGUAGAGAUGGGGUUUCGCCAUGUUGGCCAGGUUGGUCUCAAACUCCUGACCUCAGGUCAUCCGCUCGCCUU
This 229-nucleotide signal recognition particle RNA is filed under the name Gorilla gorilla gorilla (western lowland gorilla). Its description in RNAcentral is "Metazoan signal recognition particle RNA". It matches the Rfam family "Metazoan signal recognition particle RNA". Rfam says of the family: The signal recognition particle (SRP) is a universally conserved ribonucleoprotein. It is involved in the co-translational targeting of proteins to membranes. The record is from Rfam by way of RNAcentral. Lineage: Eukaryota; Metazoa; Chordata; Mammalia; Primates; Hominidae.